Molecule: transfer RNA, 71 nt
Filed under: Cricetulus griseus (Chinese hamster)
Lineage: Eukaryota; Metazoa; Chordata; Mammalia; Rodentia; Cricetidae
Rfam family: tRNA
About the family: Transfer RNA (tRNA) molecules are approximately 80 nucleotides in length. Their secondary structure includes four short double-helical elements and three loops (D, anti-codon, and T loops).
Source: Rfam by way of RNAcentral
GCCCAGCUAGCUCAGUCGGUACAGCAUGAGACUCUUAAUCUUAGGGUCGUGGAUUCAAGCCACACUUGCCG